UUAAUUCGAUACAAUGUGCAAAACCUUACCAGCCCUUGACAUAUGAACAACAAAACAUGUCCUUAAUAGGAUGGUACUGACUUUCAUACAGGUGCUGCAUGGCUGUCGUCAGCUCGUGUCGUGAGAUGUUUGGUCAAGUCCUAUAACGAGCGAAACCCUUGAGUGCAUGUGUUCAAUUAUUAUCAUUUUGGGCACUCCACCAAGAUGUAUGUGACAUGAAAGAGUAACCCAUGAUCCUAACACAUUGUGCA
RNAcentral lists this non-coding RNA (251 nucleotides) under Triticum aestivum (bread wheat). RNAcentral describes it as "Bacterial small subunit ribosomal RNA". It matches the Rfam family "Bacterial small subunit ribosomal RNA", at positions 946 to 1195 of the family's 1533-position model. The record is from Rfam by way of RNAcentral. Lineage: Eukaryota; Viridiplantae; Streptophyta; Magnoliopsida; Poales; Poaceae.